RNAcentral lists this ribosomal RNA (265 nucleotides) under uncultured Rickettsia sp. RNAcentral describes it as "partial 16S ribosomal RNA". It matches the Rfam family "Bacterial small subunit ribosomal RNA", at positions 233 to 512 of the family's 1533-position model. Lineage: Bacteria; Pseudomonadati; Pseudomonadota; Alphaproteobacteria; Rickettsiales; Rickettsiaceae. The record is from RNAcentral.
AUGCAGGAUUAGCUAGUUGGUGGGGGUAAGUGGCGUCACCAAGGCAACGAUCUUAAGUUGGUCUGAGAGGAUGAUCAGCCACACUGGAACUGAGACACGGUCCAGACUCCUACGGGAGGCAGCAGUGGGGAAUAUUGGACAAUGGGCGUAAGCCUGAUCCAGCGACGCCGCGUGAGUGAAGAAGGCCUUCGGGUUGUAAAGUUCUUUUAGUGGGGAAGAUAAUGACGGUACCCACAGAAAAAGCCCCGGCUAACUUCGUGCCAGC